UUAGGCUUUCUCAGAAUUCUUCUCCUUGCUUCAGCCGCACUUAUCCCACCCUUCUUGACACUGUCCAAGGAACUGUACAAGUCCUCUCCUUCGCCCUGUCGGGGCUGCCUGGUUGUUUUGAACUGCUUCAAAAUGUUUGAUUUGCACACUGAUUUGACUUUGAGGAAGAAUUAGAAGUCAUUUGGUGCCAGGUCCAGUACACAGUGAAAGUUGUUAAUACAGAAAAUUCAGAAAUAUUUUGACUGGAAAUGAUAGAAUUGAUACAUCCAGCACUGAUUUGACCCCCAUGGACUCAGGCUCCUAGUCUUCCCCACUGCCAGAGCAGACCAGGAAGCCCAGGCACCGAGCAGCCAAGGAAUCCGAUCAGCACUCACAGACCCAGCAGUGGCCAGUUUCCCUCCUAAAUGACGCUUCACCAUUUCUUUUUCAAAUGUCCGCGGGAAAUGAAGUUUGUGAUGGUCUGUUUUGUAAGCUGUUCAAUCAGGACUAUGGAGUUAUUAAGUUAAAAACACUUUCAUGAGUGUUUGCUUUGAAGUCUGAAAAUCUACUGGAUUUUGAGAUUUGUGCUGGGAAGACCCAAGGGUCAGCGGUGGAAGCCAGAAAGUCUAUGCCAGCAGGAUGAAGGAGCUGUGCUAGUGGGAUGAGGGUUCUACAGUGGAGCCACCGAGAAGUCACACUCACAACAAAGAGCGGGGCU
Molecule: long non-coding RNA, 697 nt
Organism: Cavia porcellus (domestic guinea pig)
Lineage: Eukaryota; Metazoa; Chordata; Mammalia; Rodentia; Caviidae
Exons: 5
Source: RefSeq, a predicted model, not a curated record